This 1367-nucleotide ribosomal RNA is filed under the name uncultured bacterium. Its description in RNAcentral is "bacterial SSU rRNA". It matches the Rfam family "Bacterial small subunit ribosomal RNA". The record is from RNAcentral.
AGAGUUUGAUCCUGGCUCAGGACGAACGCUGGCGGCGCGCCUAACACAUGCAAGUCGAACGAGAGAGAGGGAGCUUGCUUCCUCAAUCGAGUGGCGAACGGGUGAGUAACGCGUGAGGAACCUGCCUCAAAGAGGGGGACAACAGUUGGAAACGACUGCUAAUACCGCAUAAGCCCACAGCUCGGCAUCGAGCAGAGGGAAAAGGAGCAAUCCGCUUUGAGAUGGCCUCGCGUCCGAUUAGCUGGUUGGUGAGGUAACGGCCCACCAAGGCGACGAUCGGUAGCCGGACUGAGAGGUUGAACGGCCACAUUGGGACUGAGACACGGCCCAGACUCCUACGGGAGGCAGCAGUGGGGAAUAUUGCACAAUGGGGGAAACCCUGAUGCAGCGACGCCGCGUGGAGGAAGAAGGUCUUCGGAUUGUAAACUCCUGUUGUUGAGGAAGAUAAUGACGGUACUCAACAAGGAAGUGACGGCUAACUACGUGCCAGCAGCCGCGGUAAAACGUAGGUCACAAGCGUUGUCCGGAAUUACUGGGUGUAAAGGGAGCGCAGGCGGGAAGACAAGUUGGAAGUGAAAUCUAUGGGCUCAACCCAUAAACUGCUUUCAAAACUGUUUUUCUUGAGUAGUGCAGAGGUAGGCGGAAUUCCCGGUGUAGCGGUGGAAUGCGUAGAUAUCGGGAGGACACCAGUGGCGAAGGCGGCCUACUGGGCACCAACUGACGCUGAGGCUCGAAAGUGUGGGUAGCAAACAGGAUUAGAUACCCUGGUAGUCCACACCGUAAACGAUGAUUACUAGGUGUUGGAGGAUUGACCCCUUCAGUGCCGCAGUUAACACAAUAAGUAAUCCACCUGGGGAGUACGACCGCAAGGUUGAAACUCAAAGGAAUUGACGGGGGCCCGCACAAGCAGUGGAGUAUGUGGUUUAAUUCGACGCAACGCGAAGAACCUUACCAAGUCUUGACAUCCUGCGACGGACAUAGAAAUAUGUGUUUCCUUCGGGACGCAGAGACAGGUGGUGCAUGGUUGUCGUCAGCUCGUGUCGCGAGAUGUUGGGUUAAGUCCCGCAACGAGCGCAACCCUUACUGUCAGUUACUACGCAAGAGGACUCUGGCAGGACUGCCGUUGACAAAACGGAGGAAGGUGGGGAUGACGUCAAAUCAUCAUGCCCUUUAUGACUUGGGCUACACACGUACUACAAUGGCGUUAAACAAAGAGAAGCAAGACCGCGAGGUGGAGCAAAACUCAGAAACAACGUCCCAGUUCGGACUGCAGGCUGCAACUCGCCUGCACGAAGUCGGAAUUGCUAGUAAUCGUGGAUCAGCAUGCCACGGUGAAUACGUUCCCGGGCCUGUACACACCGCCCGUC